RNAcentral lists this transfer RNA (86 nucleotides) under Dactylosporangium siamense. RNAcentral's name for it is "tRNA-Gly". The record is from RNAcentral. Lineage: Bacteria; Bacillati; Actinomycetota; Actinomycetes; Micromonosporales; Micromonosporaceae.
CGCCGGCGGGGUUGCCGUCGCGGCCCGGCUGCUGCCGGUGGCCGAGGCCGAGCACACCGUCGAGCGGAUCGCGCCGCUGCUGGCGU